RNAcentral lists this long non-coding RNA (548 nucleotides) under Brassica napus (rape). RNAcentral describes it as "long non-coding RNA (BNAP_LNC003207)". The record is from RNAcentral. Lineage: Eukaryota; Viridiplantae; Streptophyta; Magnoliopsida; Brassicales; Brassicaceae.
CGGAUACGUCCACUACUGGAGUGUGGAGAUUGGUGCCACUGCCUCCGUUAAGAGGAGUUUGCAUGUUAUCCGCGUUGUUAGUUGACAUGUCUGAUUGAGAGUGAUGUGGCUUUUGCGGGUUAGAUUGAGCCGUACCCCCCUCCUUCUAGCGCCAAACUGUGGGAACCGAAAUUCGCACUGUCGAUUUCCGUUUAAAUAAGGAAACUAGGAAAACCCUAAUUUCCCAGAGGACCCGGAUAACUGCUAAUUACCACACGUCAAGCAAUCAGAACACGAGAAUAACAACGAUAAAGUAUAAGAAAUCGAAAAAGAGAGCAAAGAAGAUCUUAUUUCCGAAUUUGCGUAUGAGCGUUUACAACAAGGUAUAAGCCUGGGCACGAGAGCUGUCGGCGAGAUUCUUAGUUCUAGCAACCCUAAGACGGUAAACCUAAUUGAGUCGCAGCUCGAAAUAACAAAAACGGAAAAAUGCCUACAUCGCUCUAAGUGCUAAGUUUGCUCUGAAAAAGUUCUCUUUCCCAUGCUCCUCGCCUAGGACUCCUUAUAUACUA